CCUACGGGUGGCUGCAGUGAGGAAUAUUGGUCAAUGGGCGCAAGCCUGAACCAGCCAAGUCGCGUGAGGGAUGACGGUCCUAUGGAUUGUAAACCUCUUUUGUCGGGGAGCCAGGCCCGCCACGUGUGGCGGGAAGGAGAGUACCCGACGAAAAAGCAUCGGCUAACUCCGUGCCAGACGACGCGGUAAUACGGAGGAUGCGAGCGUGAUCCCGAGUUGGUGGGUUUAAGGGGUGCGCCGGCGGAAGGUUAAGUCAGCGGUAAAAUGUAGGGGCUCAACACCGGCCUGCCGUUGAAACUGGUCUUCUUGAGUGAGCGAGAAGUAUGCGGAAGGCGUGGUGUAGCGGUGAAAUGCAUAGAUAUCACGCAGAACUCCGAUUGCGAAGGCAGCAUACCGGCGCUCAACUGACGCUGAGGCACGAAAGCGUGGGGAUCGAACAGGAUUAGAUACCCGGGUAGUC
Molecule: ribosomal RNA, 460 nt
Filed under: uncultured bacterium
Lineage: Bacteria
Description: partial 16S ribosomal RNA
Rfam family: Bacterial small subunit ribosomal RNA
Source: RNAcentral